GACGAACGCUGGCGGCGUGCUUAACACAUGCAAGUCGAACGGAAAGGCCCUGCUUUUGUGGGGUGCUCGAGUGGCGAACGGGUGAGUAACACGUGAGUAACCUGCCCUUGACUUUGGGAUAACUUCAGGAAACUGGGGCUCAUACCCGAUAGGAGCUCCUGCUGCAUGUGGGGGGUUGGAGAGUUUCGGCGGUUGGGGAUGGACUCGCGGCUUAUCAGCUUGUUGGUGGGGUAGUGGCUUACCAGGGCUUUGACGGGUAGCCGGCCUGGGAGGGUGACCGGCCACAUUGGGACUGAGAUACGGCGCAGACGCCUACGGGAGGCAGCAGUGGGGAAUAUUGCACAAUGGGCGGAAGCCUGAUGCAGCAACGCCGCGUGCGGGAUGACGGCCUUCGGGGUGUAAACCGCUUUCGCCUGUGACGAAGCGUGAGUGACGGUAAUGGGUAAAGAAGCACCGGCUAACUACGUG
This 468-nucleotide ribosomal RNA is filed under the name uncultured bacterium. RNAcentral describes it as "partial 16S ribosomal RNA". It matches the Rfam family "Bacterial small subunit ribosomal RNA", at positions 28 to 507 of the family's 1533-position model. The record is from RNAcentral.